AUUGAACGCUGGCGGCAUGCUUUACACAUGCAAGUCGGACGGCAGCGGGGUAGUGCUUGCACUACUGCCGGCGAGUGGCGAACGGGUGAGUAAUAUAUUGGAACGUACCGAGUAAUGGGGGAUAACCAAUCGAAAGAUUGGCUAAUACCGCAUACGCUCUGAGGAGGAAAGCAGGGGACCUUCGGGCCUUGCGUUAUUCGAGCGGCCAAUAUCUGAUUAGCUAGUUGGUGGGGUAAGGGCCUACCAAGGCGACGAUCAGUAGCGGGUCUGAGAGGAUGAUCCGCCACACUGGGGCUGAGACACGGCCCAGACUCCUACGGGAGGCAGCAGUGGGGAAUUUUGGACAAUGGGCGCAAGCCUGAUCCAGCCAUGCCGCGUGUCUGAAGAAGGCCUUCGGGUUGUAAAGGACUUUUGUUAGGGAAGAAAAAGGAGCGGUUAAUACCCGUUUCUGCUGACGGUACCUAAAGAAUAAGCACCGGCUAACUACGUG
Molecule: ribosomal RNA, 490 nt
Filed under: uncultured bacterium
Lineage: Bacteria
Description: partial 16S ribosomal RNA
Rfam family: Bacterial small subunit ribosomal RNA
Source: RNAcentral